Suricata suricatta (meerkat) is the source of this 317-nucleotide long non-coding RNA. RefSeq lists it as uncharacterized. NCBI's taxonomy places the organism in Eukaryota, Metazoa, Chordata, Mammalia, Carnivora, Herpestidae. The record is from RefSeq and is a predicted model, not a curated record. The transcript is spliced from 2 exons.
GUGAGCAACAGAAAAGAUAAAGGGAUCAUGGAGGAGGCAGGAAGGAGGCAAGAGAGGUCAACAAGCUAUAGAAGUACUUCAGUGGAUCAGUCAGUGACUGCAAGUGAAAGUUCUGGGAGUUGUAACACAUAUAUAAAUUAAUGGAACCACCACCUCAAUCAGGAUUCAUAGGCAUCCCAUCAUCUCGAAAAACCAUCAUGCUAUACCUUUGCGGUUAUACUUUUGUCCCACCCCUAAUUUCUGGCAGCCACUCACUUCCAUCUCCAUAGUUUUCUCUUUUUGGUAAUCUGAUAUAAAUAAAAUCAUAUAAUAUGUGA